CUUAUAAGGCUGGUAAAGAGUUAUGAGCUGUUGAUUUUUUUGGUGAUAGAUAUGAGUAUUAUAAGAUAAUUUAUCAAGCUUAAAACCGGCGGAAGCACUUAGGUUGAGAUAUUUUUUUUGAAAUCUUACGAUUUUCAUCAACUAGACUAUGUAAACGGAACACCCACAGAGUAAACACGUUUUAGGUACAUAGUUGCGUUUAAUGUUAACCUGUUUUGACACUUUCUUGUCCACACUACACCCAACUUAAUUUUAUUUACU
Non-coding RNA from Plutella xylostella (diamondback moth), 261 nucleotides. The record is from RefSeq and is a predicted model, not a curated record. NCBI's taxonomy places the organism in Eukaryota, Metazoa, Arthropoda, Insecta, Lepidoptera, Plutellidae.